Molecule: ribosomal RNA, 89 nt
Filed under: Escherichia coli
Lineage: Bacteria; Pseudomonadati; Pseudomonadota; Gammaproteobacteria; Enterobacterales; Enterobacteriaceae
Also listed under: 8 other names
Source: RNAcentral
CCUGGCGGCCGUAGCGCGGUGGUCCCACCUGACCCCAUGCCGAACUCAGAAGUGAAACGCCGUAGCGCCGAUGGUAGUGUGGGGUCUCC